This is a non-coding RNA of Podarcis lilfordi (Lilford's wall lizard), 86 nucleotides long. The record is from the annotation of a GenBank genome assembly. Lineage: Eukaryota; Metazoa; Chordata; Lepidosauria; Squamata; Lacertidae.
AGCUGUUUUGGGACUACAAUUCCCAUCACCCCUGACCACUGGUCCUGUUAGCUAGGGGUGAUGGGAGUUGUAGUCCCAAAACAGCU